UACGAAGGGAGCUAGCGUUGUUCGGAAUCACUGGGCGUAAAGCGCACGUAGGCGGAUUUGUCAGUCAGGGGUGAAAUCCCGGGGCUCAACCUCGGAACUGCCUUUGAUACAGCAAGUCUUGAGUUCGAGAGAGGUGGGUGGAAUUCCUAGUGUAGAGGUGAAAUUCGUAGAUAUUAGGAAGAACACCGGUGGCGAAGGCGGCCCACUGGCUCGAUACUGACGCUGAGGUGCGAAAGCGUGGGGAGCGAUCCGG
RNAcentral lists this ribosomal RNA (253 nucleotides) under uncultured bacterium. RNAcentral's name for it is "partial 16S ribosomal RNA". It matches the Rfam family "Bacterial small subunit ribosomal RNA", at positions 524 to 776 of the family's 1533-position model. The record is from RNAcentral.